Cinara cedri is the source of this 452-nucleotide non-coding RNA. NCBI's taxonomy places the organism in Eukaryota, Metazoa, Arthropoda, Insecta, Hemiptera, Aphididae. The record is from the annotation of a GenBank genome assembly.
AAAGCACUGACAAAGCAAAGAAAUAUUUAUUUAAUAUUUACCUAUUACAAAAACUACAAUCAGAUAUUCUUACAAUAAUCUAUAUGGAUAAAUUGACUACAAAUAAUAUACCAAAAUUAUUAUUUAAAAACCCUGAGUCUAAAUAUACGAUAUAACAUACUUGGUACCUUGAAAUUGGUAAUUUGGUAUUGAAAGUUUCACCAAAAUAUUGUUUAAAGGCUAAUAAGUAAAAAAAUAAAGUUCCCAAUAUCUCAUGGGCCCAUGCCACCUUAUGCCACUGAUAGAUAGAAAGAGCUGAUUUAACACAGCACACUUCAAGGAUGCUCAUGACAUAACAAUUGAAAACCACUGACUUAUAUAAUAUAAACCUAUAAUAUGGAAAAUUUACUACCGUUAUUAUAUUUUGAUUCUUUUAAUUGCUCAAUACAUUUUGAGAAAAUAAAAAAAACUAC